Mycena leptocephala is the source of this 92-nucleotide non-coding RNA. Lineage: Eukaryota; Fungi; Basidiomycota; Agaricomycetes; Agaricales; Mycenaceae. The record is from the annotation of a GenBank genome assembly.
GCACUCUUGGUGUAGCAGUAACAUACAAUCUACUUCUACCAAAGAGAUGACUGCCUAAGAUUGGGUCCGGGGUUCGACUCCCCGAGGGCGCA